GCAUGAUGGGAGCUGGGGGAGGCUACAGGUCCUGGCCCCAGGGAGACAGGAUGCACAGAAAGGGCGUGUGAACUGUAGGUGAAACCAGUGGCCCUGGUUUAGGGUUAACACUUGAAGAUGAGAAAAUUUGAUCUCUGAACUCUGAAGGGGCUGAAGUGGUUUUAGUUACAUCAAGUGAUGAAAAACACCCCUUAAAAUAUCAUUGGUGGGAAUCCAGAAACAUUUUGGACCACCAUAGGAAUGUUCCCCCAGGAGUUCAUCAUAUGUUUUCACAUAUAAUAGAGCUUAUAAUACAAAGUUACUUAGCGUGGACCUUGAAGAUUGAAAAGAGCACAUCUAAAGAGCCUGUCAGUUUUGAGCAGUGGAUUGAAAAAGAUUUUGUACACACAGAGGGGCAACUUCAAAAUGAAGAAAUUGUGGCUCAUGAUGGCCAAACUUGAGAUUCAUAAUUACAUCAGUCAUUUUAUAUCUGUACAUAGUAUUUCUGCAAAGAGAAUAGUAGUCUCAAAGUCAUUCUUAGUAAUUAUAAUAAAAUGUCUUGCAUAGUCUUUAAUAAUAUAUUUAAACAUGAAGUUGACAUUGAUGUAUUUUAGCAAAAGGAUUUAUAUCCAAAAAAAAACUAGGCAUGAUGAUAACAUGCUGUAAUCCCAGUGGCUUAGGAGGCUAAGGCAGGAGUAUCACAAGUUCAAGGUCUAUUCUUGGCAAUUUAGGAAGGCCCUAUCUCAAAAUUUAAAGAAAAGUGUGUGGUGGGGGGGACUGAAGAUGUAGCUCAGAGGUAGAGUGUUCCUGGGUUCAAUCCCAGUACUCCUGCGGAGGCUGGAAAUGUAGCUCAGUGGUAGAGUGCUUACCUAGCAUGUGUGGGGCCCUGAGUUCAAGGUCUGAUACUAUUUUUUUUUUUAAUUUUUUUUUUGAGAC
This 915-nucleotide long non-coding RNA is filed under the name Marmota monax (woodchuck). The record is from RNAcentral. Lineage: Eukaryota; Metazoa; Chordata; Mammalia; Rodentia; Sciuridae.